CCGACCUGUGCAGGAGGAGUGUGGUCGGUCACACAGUGGGACCCGCUGCCUCUCCUCUGCCACCCUCUAGGCCCACGCGGAUGGGAGUGAUCAACCUAUGUGGUGGAGGUUUGGCCAGUCAUACCAGAGACCAAGCAGGAAAACGGUCCAGGCCACUGAUGCAGAGAGAAGAGAGGCGUGGACAUGUGAUGGGACUGGCUGAAGAAGCUCAUACCGAAGGCAGCAGAGCCAAGCUUUGAACACUGAUCCUUCUGUACUAAGAUCCUUAGAAGGGAAGGGACCAGGAAACAGACAGGGUGGGUAGGAAGCUGGCCAGUUCUGCCUGAGUGGGAGCCCCAGGCAACGUGUACCUUGAUCGUCGAAAGCAUGAGUCAGCUCAUGGCCCACCACGACACCAAUGCCACCGAAGUUCAAGGCGCUGGAGGAGGAACGCACAGGCAUCUGGGCCCUCCGGGCACCAAUGGCUCAAGGAGGCUGGCUGGCUAAGUAGCCAGCUACGAGGGCUGGGCAAGACUGGACUGGCGGCUGCUGAGGUUGGGGAAUGGUUGGGGAAAGAGCACCGGACAUGACCUACUUGGGCG
This is a non-coding RNA of Peromyscus maniculatus bairdii (prairie deer mouse), 581 nucleotides long. The record is from RefSeq and is a predicted model, not a curated record. NCBI's taxonomy places the organism in Eukaryota, Metazoa, Chordata, Mammalia, Rodentia, Cricetidae.